RNAcentral lists this ribosomal RNA (2813 nucleotides) under Salibacter halophilus. RNAcentral describes it as "23S ribosomal RNA". It matches the Rfam family "Bacterial large subunit ribosomal RNA". Lineage: Bacteria; Pseudomonadati; Bacteroidota; Flavobacteriia; Flavobacteriales; Salibacteraceae. The record is from RNAcentral.
AGAAAGUAACAAAGGGCGCUUGGCGGAUGCCUAGGCUCUCAGAGACGAAGAAGGACGUGACAAGCUGCGAAAAGCUACGGAGAGGCGCACAUAGCUUAUGACCCGUAGAUAUCCGAAUGGGGCAACCCACUUAGUUGAAGACUAAGUAUUCCAAUUUAUUGGGAGGUCAACCUGGUGAACUGAAACAUCUAAGUAACCAGAGGAAAAGAAAACAAAAGUGAUUCUCUAAGUAGUGGCGAACGAACGGGGAACAGCCCAAACCAGAAUUGUUUCGGCAAUUCUGGGGUAGUAGGACUACAAUGUGGACUAAAAAUUAAUAGCUGAAUCCUUUGGAAAGAGGAGCGAUAGAGGGUGAUAGCCCCGUAAGCGAAAUUGAUUUUUUACCUAGUAGUAUCCUGAGUAGCACGGAACACGUGAAAUUCUGUGUGAAUCAGCCGGGACCAUCCGGUAAGGCUAAAUACUCCUGAGAGACCGAUAGUGAACAAGUACCGUGAGGGAAAGGUGAAAAGCACUCCGAACAGGAGGGUGAAAUAGUACCUGAAACCAAGCGCUUACAAGCGGAGGGAGCCUUCGGGUGACCUCGUGCCUUUUGCAUAAUGAGCCUACGAGUUACUCCUGUCUAGCAAGGUUAAGAGUUUAAGACUUGAAGCCGGAGCGAAAGCGAGUCUGAAUAGGGCGAUUUAGUUAGAUGGGGUAGACGCGAAACUGAGUGAUCUACCCAUGGCCAGGUUGAAGCUUUGGUAACACAGAGUGGAGGACCGAACCAGUACACGUUGAAAAGUGUUUGGAUGAGCUGUGGGUCGGAGUGAAAGGCUAAUCAAACUCAGAAAUAGCUCGUACUCCCCGAAAUGCAUUUAGGUGCAGCCUCAAAAUAAGUGUUGUAGAGGUAGAGCUACUGAUAGGGCUAGGGGGCUUCACCGCCUACCAAACCCUGACAAACUCCGAAUGCUACAACAUAUUUUUGGGAGUGAGGGCGCGGGUGCUAAGGUCCGUGUCCGAGAGGGAAACAACCCAGAUCAUCAGUUAAGGUCCCUAAAUGUAUGCUAAGUUGAACAAACGUGGUCCGACUGCUUUGACAGCUAGGAUGUUGGCUUGGAAGCAGCCAUUCAUUUAAAGAGUGCGUAACAGCUCACUAGUCGAGCGGUUAGGCGUGGAUAAUAAUCGGGCAUAAAGCAUACUACCGAAACUGUGAAUUAUAUGGUAGGGGAGCAUUCAAGUUGCGUUGAAGCUAAGCUGUGAGGCUUUGUGGAGCGACUUGAAAAGAAAAUGUAGGCAUAAGUAACGAUAAAGCAGGCGAGAAACCUGCUCACCGCUAGACUAAGGUUUCCUGAGCAACGCUAAUCGGCUCAGGGUUAGUCGGGAUCUAAGGCGAACCCGAAAGGGGUAGUCGAUGACGAAUCAGUUAAUAUUCUGAUACCUGCUAUACAUUAAAAGUGACGGAGUGAAUAAGGAUACGCGUACUGACGGAAUAGUACGUUAAACCCCGCUUGCGGGGGAUAGUACCACAAACCUUCGGGUGCGUGGAUAGUUAUCUGAAGAACUUCCAAGAAAAGCGAGUAUAGCAGCCCGUACCGCAAACCGACACAGGUAGUCAAGGAGAGUAUCCUAAGGUGCUCGAGUGAUUCAUGGCUAAGGAACUAGGCAAAAUGGCCCUGUAACUUCGGGAGAAAGGGCGCCCUAACUUCGGUUAGGGCCGCAGUGAAAAGAUCCAGGCGACUGUUUAUCAAAAACACAUGGCUUUGCGAAAUCGAAAGAUGAAGUAUAAGGCCUGACACCUGCCCGGUGCUGGAAGGUUAAGGGGUGGAGUUAUCUUCGGAGAAGCUCUAAACCGAAGCCCCAGUAAACGGCGGCCGUAACUAUAACGGUCCUAAGGUAGCGAAAUUCCUUGUCGGGUAAGUUCCGACCUGCACGAAUGGUGCAACGAUCUGGAUACUGUCUCGGCCAUGAGCUCGGUGAAAUUGUAGUAUCGGUGAAGAUGCCGGUUACCCGCAACGGGACGGAAAGACCCCGUGAACCUUCACUACAACUUCACAUUGAUAUUGGGUAAUUCAUGUGUAGGAUAGGUGGGAGACUUAGAAGCGGCCUCGCUAGGGGCUGUGGAGUCGUCCUUGAAAUACCACCCUUGAAUUGCUUGAUGUCUAAUCCUGCAAAGGAGACAGUGUGUGGUGGGUAGUUUGACUGGGGUGGUCGCCUCCAAAAGAGUAUCGGAGGCUUUCAAAGGUGCCCUCAGUACGCUUGGUAACCGUACGAAGAGUGCAAUAGCAUAAGGGCGCUUGACUGUGAGACCUACAAGUCGACCAGGUACGAAAGUAGGAUAUAGUGAUCCGGUGGUUCCGCAUGGAAGGGCCAUCGCUCAAAGGAUAAAAGGUACUCCGGGGAUAACAGGCUGAUCUCCCCCAAGAGCUCACAUCGACGGGGGGGUUUGGCACCUCGAUGUCGGCUCGUCACAUCCUGGGGCUGGAGAAGGUCCCAAGGGUUGGGCUGUUCGCCCAUUAAAGUGGCACGCGAGCUGGGUUCAGAACGUCGCGAGACAGUUCGGUCCCUAUCUGUUGUGGGCGUUAGAAGCUUGAGAGGAUCUGACCUUAGUACGAGAGGACCGGGUUGGACAAACCGCUAGUGUACCUGUUGUGGCGCCAGCUGCAUCGCAGGGUAGCUAUGUUUGGAUGAGAUAAGCGCUGAAAGCAUCUAAGCACGAAACUCACCUCAAGAUGAGGCUUCUUUAAAGGGUCGUUCAAGACUAGGACGUUGAUAGGCUGCAAGUGUAAAGUCAGUAAUGGCAUAGCUGAGCAGUACUAAUUACCCGUAGCUUUCAA